GGGGGCGAUUUGGCUUCGACGUGGAUCGCGAAGCUUAUAGGGCAUGUCGAGGAGCAGGUUACCUCGUAAAUCCAUCUGCAAAACAAUAGUUGCCAACGACGACAACUACGCCUUAGCGGCUUAAGUCCGCUGAGCCUUUGACUAAGUUGUGUAUAUGCACUUAGAGUUUGUGUUACAGCAAACGUUCAAGGGUCACUUUUCAUAUACUCGUAGCGACGUAUGUCUAGGGCAGAGCUACUAAAUUCUAACUAGGCUCACUAUUAAAAUUCCUGCUCGUCGGAAGGUUAAUUGUUAAAUUGAAGACUGAGCUAAACAUGUAGAACUGUAAGUGUAGGAUUUGCGCACGCGGGUUCGAUCCCCGCCGCCUCCAA
RNAcentral lists this transfer-messenger RNA (371 nucleotides) under Beggiatoa sp. IS2. It matches the Rfam family "transfer-messenger RNA". From Rfam's summary of the family: Bacterial tmRNA, also known as 10Sa RNA or SsrA, is named for its dual tRNA and mRNA-like properties. Its role is to liberate the mRNA from a stalled ribosome. The record is from RNAcentral. Lineage: Bacteria; Pseudomonadati; Pseudomonadota; Gammaproteobacteria; Thiotrichales; Thiotrichaceae.